Molecule: transfer RNA, 72 nt
Filed under: Lactobacillus phage Lbab1
Lineage: Duplodnaviria; Heunggongvirae; Uroviricota; Caudoviricetes; Herelleviridae
Rfam family: tRNA
About the family: Transfer RNA (tRNA) molecules are approximately 80 nucleotides in length. Their secondary structure includes four short double-helical elements and three loops (D, anti-codon, and T loops).
Source: Rfam by way of RNAcentral
GUUUCCAUAGAACAAUGGAUAGUUUACCGGUUUCCUAAACCGUUAAUUCCGGUUCGAGUCCGGAUGGAAACA